This 301-nucleotide ribosomal RNA is filed under the name uncultured bacterium. RNAcentral's name for it is "partial 16S ribosomal RNA". It matches the Rfam family "Bacterial small subunit ribosomal RNA", at positions 509 to 807 of the family's 1533-position model. The record is from RNAcentral.
CAGCCGCCGCGGUAAUACGAAGGGGGCUAGCGUUGUUCGGAUUUACUGGGCGUAAAGGGCGCGUAGGCGGUGAGUUAAGUCUGUUGUGAAAUCCCCGGGCUCAACCUGGGAAUGGCAAUGGAUACUGGAUCGCUAGAGUGUGAUAGAGGAUGGUGGAAUUCCCGGUGUAGCGGUGAAAUGCGUAGAGAUCGGGAGGCACAUCAGCGGCGAAGGCGGCCAUCUGGAUCAACACUGACGCUGAAGCACGAAAGCGUGGGGAGCAAACAGGAUUAGAUACCCCGGUAGUCCCUGUCUCUUAUAC